RNAcentral lists this ribosomal RNA (390 nucleotides) under uncultured bacterium. RNAcentral describes it as "bacterial SSU rRNA". It matches the Rfam family "Bacterial small subunit ribosomal RNA", at positions 28 to 417 of the family's 1533-position model. The record is from RNAcentral.
GACGAACGCUGGCGGCGUGCUUAACACACGCAAGUCGAGCGGUAAGGCCCUUUCGGGGGUACGACGAGCGGCGAACGGGUGAGUAACACGUGGGUGACCUGCCCUCAGCUCUGGGAUAAGCCUGGGAAACCGGGUCUAAUACUGGAUAUGACUCCAUGACGCAUGUUGUGGGGUGGAAAGCCUUGUGCGGCUGAGGAUGGGCCCGCGGCCUAUCAGCUUGUUGGUGGGGUGAUGGCCUACCAAGGCGACGACGGGUAGCCGGCCUGAGAGGGCGACCGGCCACACUGGGACUGAGACACGGGCCCAGACUCCUACGGGAGGCAGCAGUGGGGAAUCUUGCGCAAUGGGCGAAAGCCUGACGCAGCGACGCCGCGUGAGGGAUGACGGCCU